AAUGGCCGGGACAAAGGAUUGUGAUCUCGCGAGGGUAAGCUAACUCCAAAAACCUGUCCUCAGUUCGGAUUGUAGGUUGCAACUCGCCUGCAUGAAG
This is a ribosomal RNA of Lupinus angustifolius (narrow-leaved blue lupine), 97 nucleotides long. It matches the Rfam family "Bacterial small subunit ribosomal RNA", at positions 1229 to 1325 of the family's 1533-position model. NCBI's taxonomy places the organism in Eukaryota, Viridiplantae, Streptophyta, Magnoliopsida, Fabales, Fabaceae. The record is from Rfam.